Long non-coding RNA from Lutra lutra (Eurasian river otter), 393 nucleotides. RefSeq lists it as uncharacterized. Lineage: Eukaryota; Metazoa; Chordata; Mammalia; Carnivora; Mustelidae. The transcript has 3 exons. The record is from RefSeq and is a predicted model, not a curated record.
CAGGAAAAAAUAAAGCAAAAGUGCCGACCUAUUGGGGGGCAAAAAAUAGUGGCUGUUCCAGAAGAACAAAUUGGGAAGCAGAUUGUGGCAGCAUCUGAAAUCUCAAUGAAACUGGGCAGCACUGCCAAGCUGGUGACCUACAAGCAAAGCCUUGCUGAACAUAGCACGGUCAGGAACCUUGUUAAACACUGGAUAUGGAUACAAAGAUGGCUACUGUAUAUCCUCCAAAAGAGGUCACCUCUAACUCACCCAAAUCAGUAUGUUACAGAUGCAACAGAAGAUAAAGAAGAGAUGAAUUUAAAAGCGUACAGAAGGAAAAGGAUUCGCCCCCAGACGGAUGCAGUACUACAAGCACGCAGAAUCAAGAGGAGUGGGAAGCCAUCCCAAGAAAUA